GGGGGGGGGAGCAAGCUCCAUGCGUCAGUUCCCGCCAAAUUGUAGCUCUUUCGAGCGAGGAGGUGCUGAAACACUGCACAGAGACGGGCAAGCACUCAGAGGCAUUUCGUUUGCCUUGAUCCUGGAGGCGGCCUUCUCCCAUUGCCGAGGAUUUGAAGCGAACUCCUGGCAGAUCAGAAAUGUUCAGGCGAACGGCGGUUAUAUUUGUCCGUGGACCCAAGACUUCGUUGACGGGCAAAUAUGGAACCCUGCAACAAGGACUGUAGUGUGAAUAGCGUGCUGCGCUGCUCUCGCCAACUGAAAAGAACUCUGGUAAGAUGCAUGCUUGGUUACGAAAGUCUCACGCAAUCGCUUUUCACAUUGAAUUUGGUCGCAGGUGUGCUGUAAAUGCCGACUGCACAAUAUGUGACUGGCCCGCGGCUGCAUUGAAGGUAAGAUUGUGUUCUCAUUAUUCUAUUUAUUGUACCAUUUGUUUUCCAGUGACAUAGCCAACAACGAAAUCCAUCCUCUCUCCACAUAUUAUCUAGUCUGUGCGCUGUGGAGCUUGAAGCACUUCUCGGAAUUUCAGCACACUCGCAUUUAUUUUUUUCCCGACAGAAGAAAAAUGCAAGUCUAACAUCUCGACGGUAAAACGUCGCAUCUGCGCACAGGGCCAAGAGCACGAGAAGUGGCCGAAAGAAGGGAGCCGAUCCAACAGGAAUGCCGUCCGUCUUUAUAUUUAUAUAUGUCAGCGUUAUCAUGCCGUGAUCACAUGGACUGUACGGUUGCGUUGCACAAGGGCUGAUGCAAACGCUCCGUGCGAACAAUGUUGCAUGGAAAAUUAGUGCAUCUAUACAAUUGCA
Long non-coding RNA from Rhipicephalus sanguineus (brown dog tick), 842 nucleotides. RefSeq lists it as uncharacterized. NCBI's taxonomy places the organism in Eukaryota, Metazoa, Arthropoda, Arachnida, Ixodida, Ixodidae. The record is from RefSeq and is a predicted model, not a curated record. The transcript is spliced from 4 exons.